CCGGUAAACGGCGGCCGUAACUAUAACGGUCCUAAGGUAGCGAAAUUCCUUGUCGGGUAAGUUCCGACCUGCACGAAUGGCGUAAUGAUGGCCAGGCUGUCUCCACCCGAGACUCAGUGAAAUUGAACUCGCUGUGAAGAUGCAGUGUACCCGCGGCAAGACGGAAAGACCCCGUGAACCUUUACUAUAGCUUGACACUGAACAUUGAGCCUUGAUGUGUAGGAUAGGUGGGAGGCUUUGAAGUGUGGACGCCAGUCUGCAUGGAGCCGACCUUGAAAUACCACCCUUUAAUGUUUGAUGUUCUAACGUUG
Molecule: ribosomal RNA, 311 nt
Filed under: Escherichia coli
Lineage: Bacteria; Pseudomonadati; Pseudomonadota; Gammaproteobacteria; Enterobacterales; Enterobacteriaceae
Description: partial 23S ribosomal RNA
Rfam family: Bacterial large subunit ribosomal RNA
Source: RNAcentral